CAUAAUCAUUAGUCUUUUAAUUGAAGGCUGGAAUGAAUGGUUGGAUGAAAUAUUAACUGUUUCAUUUAAAAUUAUAAUAGAAUUUUAUUUUUUAGUUAAAAAGCUAAAAUGUUAUUAAAAGACGAGAAGACCCUAUAAAUCUUUAUAAUUUAUUUUUAUUAAUUGUUUAGAUAUUUUUAUUUAUUAAAAAUUAAAUUAUUUUAUUGGGGUGAUAUUAAAAUUUAAUGAACUUUUAAAAAUUUUUAUACAUAAAUUAAUGAAUUAUUGAUCCAUUAUUAAUGAUUAAAAAUUUAAGUUACUUUAGGGAUAACAGCGUAAUUUUUUUGGGAGUUCAUAUCGAUAAA
RNAcentral lists this ribosomal RNA (344 nucleotides) under Anthomyza pleuralis. RNAcentral's name for it is "partial 16S ribosomal RNA". Lineage: Eukaryota; Metazoa; Arthropoda; Insecta; Diptera; Anthomyzidae. The record is from RNAcentral.